Molecule: ribosomal RNA, 506 nt
Filed under: Calyptraea lichen
Lineage: Eukaryota; Metazoa; Mollusca; Gastropoda; Littorinimorpha; Calyptraeidae
Description: partial 16S ribosomal RNA
Rfam family: Bacterial large subunit ribosomal RNA
Source: RNAcentral
UCGCCUGUUUAUCAAAAACAUGGCUCUUUGUAAAAUAAACNUAAAGAGUCCAACCUGCCCGGUGAUUUUUUUUAACGGCCGCAGUAUAUUAACUGUGCUAAGGUAGCAUAAUAAUUUGUUCUAUAAUUGAGGACUGGAAUGAAUGGUUUCACAAGAACAAAGCUGUCUCUUUCUCACUUAAUAGAAUUUUACUUUCAGAUGAAAAGGUCUGAAUAAAAUUAAAAGACAAGAAGACCCUAUCGAGCUUAAAAAAAAUUAAUAGAAUAAACUAAUAUUUUAUAAAAAGCAGCUAUUAUCUAAUUUUGGUUGGGGCGACUUAGGAACCAUACAAACUUCUUUAACUACAUAAUACUAUACCAGUGUUGAUCCAAAAAUUUUGAUUAAUGGAAAUAGUUACCGUAGGGAUAACAGCAUUAUCUUCUUUGAGAGUUCUAAUCGAAAAGAAGGUUUGUGACCUCGAUGUUGGACCAGAAUAUCCUAAAGGUGCAGAAGUCUUUAAGGGUUGG